This 355-nucleotide ribosomal RNA is filed under the name uncultured bacterium. Its description in RNAcentral is "bacterial SSU rRNA". It matches the Rfam family "Bacterial small subunit ribosomal RNA", at positions 8 to 350 of the family's 1533-position model. The record is from RNAcentral.
AGAGUUUGAUCAUGGCUCAGGACGAACGCUGGCGGCAUGCCUAACACAUGCAAGUCGAACGGAGAUUAUUUCGAUAAUCUUAGUGGCGAACGGGUGAGUAACGCGUGGGCAACCUGCCCUCUAGAUGGGGACAACAUCCCGAAAGGGGUGCUAAUACCGAAUGUGACAGCAAUCUCGCAUGAGGAUGCUGUGAAAGGUGGCCUCUAUUUAUAAGCUAUCGCUAGAGGAUGGGCCUGCGUCUGAUUAGCUAGUUGGUGGGGUAACGGCCUACCGAAGGCGAUGAUCAGUAGCCGGUCUGAGAGGAUGAACGGCCACAUUGGGACUGAGACACGGCCCAGACUCCGUACGGGAGCGA